Molecule: ribosomal RNA, 497 nt
Filed under: uncultured bacterium
Lineage: Bacteria
Description: partial 16S ribosomal RNA
Rfam family: Bacterial small subunit ribosomal RNA
Source: RNAcentral
GGUGAACGCUGGCGGCAUGCCUAACACAUGCAAGUCGAGCGAAAGGACGAGAAGAUCGCGUCUCUGAUGUUAGCGGCGGACGGGUGGGUAAGACAUGGAUAACCUACCUAUAAUACUGGGAUAACUUCGGGAAACCGGAGACGAUAACGGAGGAUAUUUCGAACCGCAUGGAUCAAGAGUGCUAGACGGUUUUGCUGUCACUAAUAGAUGGUUCCGUGCUGCAUUAGCUAGUUGGUAAGGUAACGGCCUACCAAGGCGACGAUGCGUAGCCGACCUGAGAGGAUGAUCAGCCACACUGGAACUGAGACACGGUCCAGACUCCUACGGGAGGCAGCAGUGGGGAAUAUUGCGCAAUGGGCGAAAGCCUGAUGCAGCAAUGCCGCGUGAGUGAAGAAGGUCUUCGGAUCGUAAAGCUCUGUUAUUAGGGAAGAACAGAUGUGUGAGAAUCUGUGGACAUCCUGACGGUACCUAAUCAGAAAGCCACGGCUAACUUCGUG